GACGAACGCUGGCGGCGUGCCUAAUACAUGCAAGUCGAACGCAGUGGGGACGGGUGAGUAACACGUGGGUAACCUCCCAUCAGAGGGGAUAACACUUGGAAACAGGUGCUAAACCGAUACUGAUGGAUGGACCCGCGGUGCAUUAGCUAGUUGGUGAGGUAACGGCUCACCAAGGCUACGAGGCAUAGCCGAGCUGAGAGGGUGAUCGGCCACACUGGGACUGAGACACGGCCCAGACUCCUACGGGAGGCAGCAGUGGGGAAUCUUCGGCAAUGGACGAAAGUCUGACGGAGCAACGCCGCGUGAAUGAAGAAGGUUUUCGGAUUGUAAAACUCUGUUGGUAGGGAAGCGGUAUCUAAAGAGGAAGCAACGGCUAACUACGUGCCAGCAGCCGCGGUAAUAC
RNAcentral lists this ribosomal RNA (403 nucleotides) under uncultured bacterium. Its description in RNAcentral is "partial 16S ribosomal RNA". It matches the Rfam family "Bacterial small subunit ribosomal RNA", at positions 28 to 526 of the family's 1533-position model. The record is from RNAcentral.